RNAcentral lists this ribosomal RNA (497 nucleotides) under uncultured bacterium. RNAcentral's name for it is "bacterial SSU rRNA". It matches the Rfam family "Bacterial small subunit ribosomal RNA", at positions 28 to 519 of the family's 1533-position model. The record is from RNAcentral.
AACGAACGCUGGCGGCGCGCUUAACACAUGCAAGUCGAACGAGAAGGCGUAGCAAUACGCUUGUACAGUGGCGAACGGGUGAGUAAUACGUGGGCGACCUACCCUCGAGUGGGGAAUAACCCGCCGAAAGGCGGGCUAAUGCCGCGUACGCUUCCAUCUUUAUGGAGGUGGAAGGAAAGCCGUGCCGUGGGCACGGCGCUCAAGGAUGGGCUCACGUCCUAUCAGCUUGUUGGAGGGUAACGGCCUACCAAGGCUCCGACGGGUAGCUGGUCUGAGAGGACGAUCAGCCACACUGGCACUGCGACACGGGCCAGACUCCUACGGGAGGCAGCAGUGAGGAAUAUUGCGCAAUGGGCGAAAGCCUGACGCAGCGACGCCGCGUGGGGGAUGAAGGUCUUCGGAUUGUAAACCCCUUUCGGGAGGGAAGAUGGGACGGGCGAACCGUUCGGACGGUACCUCCAGAAGCAGCCACGGCUAACUUCGUGCCAGCCGCCGCA